RNAcentral lists this small RNA (1130 nucleotides) under Vigna angularis var. angularis. RNAcentral's name for it is "Non-protein coding transcript". The record is from RNAcentral. Lineage: Eukaryota; Viridiplantae; Streptophyta; Magnoliopsida; Fabales; Fabaceae.
UUGACCCAUUGAUAGAAUUUUUUAUUUGGGUUAAUCUAAAUGGGCCAUUUGGGCCCAAUAGCUACAGAACCAUGAUCUUCAACCUAAACCCUAAAGCCCCUUCUUCUCUCUUUCUGCGACUCUAUCAGUGAAUCGAUUCCAACAAGCAUCGAAGCUCGGGAAUUGAAUUGAAUUUCUUUACCUAGUGGUGAGGUUGCAGAUUGGAAGAAGAUGAAAAAGGGUGUUCAUCCACAGAAGCAAUGGAUAUCCUACGUUACACAAACAGGUAGGUUGAUGCAUGUGAUGAUGACAAAGAUACACCCUGUUGGAAAAGUCUACCACUUCCGGGCUAAGCGUCAAAUGGCCGAGAGUUUAGGACAGAUUGCUAAGUUCAGACGCCGCUUUGGUCUAGAAAAUCAAGCGGCCAAUGAAAAAUAACAAUUUCAGUGGGCAGAAGGAACUUUGGCUUUUCAUUUUGGAAGAGAAUAACAGGUAUAUUGGUGGUAUACUCUCAAUCAGGUUCUUUUGUAGCAUUCAACAUGUCUAGUUAAUCUGCAGAAAUGUUUCAUAUCAAGUGAUGUCUUUAGCAGUUGAUAUUUGCUUGUGGGUUUAUUAAUGCAAAUUCAAGCUAGAGAUCUUUGUCGACUCUUUUGCAUAUUACGAGGAAAUUUAUUGCUGGGCACUAGGUUAGCCUGAUGCUUAUGUUGAAGGGUGAAAUUGCUAGUUUGAAUUGAACAACGGUAUCUAGUGAUUGUUUAGUUUCUUAGUAUAAAUCUUGUCUGAAACAACCAUCUGCAAUAUGCCUAUUUUAAUUUGUUCUUUGAUCGGCUCUCUAUUAUCUGGCAUUAUCUGUGUCUGUUUAGAAGUUUUAGAGAAGGUUAAGAAUUACCAUAUUUUAAUCUUGCAUAACAUCCCAUGAUUGACAAUGGAGGAAAAUAUGGAUUAUUUAUAUGGUAGGAUAAGUUUCCUGCAGCAGAAUAUGAUUUUUGUACACUGUCAAGUCAAAUUCAGCUUAUGCACCAAAAGAAUAUAUCAUCAAUAUUUAUUCUCUCAUAAGACUCUUAGCUCUUAUUGUUACCAAGCCACUUCCAAUAAUAAGUGAGGAAAAUAGAAUAACAAACCAAAUAUGUAGUGACGUGCAAAAAUUCGAG